UACGUAGGGGGCAAGCGUUGUCCGGAUUUAUUGGGCGUAAAGAGCGUGUAGGCGGCUAGAUAGGUCCGUUGUGAAAACUCGAGGCUCAACCUCGAGACGCCGGUGGAAACCAUCUAGCUAGAGUCCGGAAGAGGAGAGUGGAAUUCCUGGUGUAGCGGUGAAAUGCGCAGAUAUCGUAAGGAAGACCAGUGGCGAAGGCGGGUCUCUGGACAGUUCCUGACGCUGAGGCACGAAGGUCAGGGGAGCAAACGGG
This 253-nucleotide ribosomal RNA is filed under the name uncultured bacterium. RNAcentral's name for it is "partial 16S ribosomal RNA". It matches the Rfam family "Bacterial small subunit ribosomal RNA", at positions 524 to 776 of the family's 1533-position model. The record is from RNAcentral.